Molecule: unclassified non-coding RNA, 1246 nt
Filed under: Lucilia cuprina (Australian sheep blowfly)
Lineage: Eukaryota; Metazoa; Arthropoda; Insecta; Diptera; Calliphoridae
Description: serrate RNA effector molecule homolog, transcript variant X2
Source: RNAcentral
UAAUCAUCUGGUAACGUUACAUUUCUUUUCAUUACUCCUCAAAUAGUGACAGAAAAAAUAAGUUGAACUGAAGCAAGAAAAAAAAAGCGCGUCACCUAAUAGUUUUUCUUUUGUGUUUUUUCUAAUAAAAUAAAAAGACAAUGGCCGAUUCCGAUGAUGAGUACGAUCGCAAGAGACGCGAUAAAUUCCGUGGUGAACGCAGCUCAGGGGAUAGUUAUCGUUCUGAGAGACGUGAUGAUAGGCGUGGUGGUGGCAGCGGCGGUGGUCGUGAUGAAUGGCCCGAAAGAGGCAAUCCCUUUAGAGGAGGAGCUGCCAGUAGAGCACGUUCUGAUUACCGAGAUUUUCGUGGUCCCCGUGAUCGUUACGGUUCACCCGGUCGAGAAAUGCCACCAGCUAAACGUAUGCGUCAAGAUUGGGGUGAUGAUUUAAGAGGAAAUCCCAGAUUUGGACCCUAUGAUCCUUAUCUUAUGCAUGCCUGGAAUGAACAUUAUGCUGCCCAUGGUUUACAUGGUGCCUAUAGUGCUGCACUUUCUCACAGUAUUCAUUCGCGUGAGUCAGCUGCCAAUACCGAUCUACAAACACAACCCGCCAUGAUGACUUUAAAGCAAUUUUUGGAUACUCAAGAUGAUGGCAUUUCGGAUACUGAAGUUUUACGCAAAUAUAAUGAAUAUAAAUUGGAAUUUAAACGUCAACAAUUAAAUGAAUUCUUUGUGGCCCAUAAGGAUGAGGAAUGCUAUUUAAGAAUGGCGUCCUUAAGGUCUGCCACCUCAGCCACACUUAUAUAUACUUACAUAACUAGGAUGGUUGUUUAAUGAAAGAAAAGCAAAGCGCACAUGUCCCCAAAAAGACAAAGAUUCUAUACUACACUCUACCUACUACUACUACUACCAACCAAUCAACCAAAACACCUACAACCCAAAAAUUGUUGUUGUUAUAGAAUCCAUGUGCUGCUCUAAUUUUUAUCACUAUCAUAUAGAAAUCGUUCUAUUGCAAACGAUUUAAUGAUGAUAUUUUAUCUUCUACUUCUAACUUUUGUUUUAUUUGUUUUUUUGCACUUGGCGAGCAAUGCCAUAGUGUGUUUAAAUUACUUUUUUGUUUAAACCGCGUAUUUAUUAAAAUCGUUUAAAUAAAUUUCCGUAACGUCUAUUAACUUGAACAUAAAUUCGGUAUCUGUAAAGGUUCAAGAACAAAUAUCAUCCUGUGGAUAGUGUUAAACGUAAGGAGGAACAAUUGAAUUUCCUAAAGG